CUUUGAUUAUGGCUCAGGAUGAACGCUAGCUACAGGCUUAACACAUGCAAGUCGAGGGGAAACGACAUCGAAAGCUUGCUUUCGAUGGGCGUCGACCGGCGCACGGGUGAGUAACGCGUAUCCAACCUGCCCAUCACUUGGGAAUAACCUUGCGAAAGUAAGACUAAUACCCAAUGACAUCCCACGAAGACAUCUGAAUGGGAUUAAAGAUUUAUCGGUGAUGGAUGGGGAUGCGUCUGAUUAGCUUGUUGGCGGGGUAACGGCCCACCAAGGCGACGAUCAGUAGGGGUUCUGAGAGGAAGGUCCCCCACAUUGGAACUGAGACACGGUCCAAACUCCUACGGGAGGCAGCAGUGAGGAAUAUUGGUCAAUGGGCGAGAGCCUGAACCAGCCAAGUAGCGUGCAGGAUGACGGCCCUAUGGGUUGUAAACUGCUUUUAUAAGGGAAUAAAGUGAGUCUCGUGAGACUUUUUGCAUGUACCUUAUGAAUAAGGACCGGCUAAUUCCGUGCCAGCAGCCGCGGUAAUACGGAAGGUCCGGGCGUUAUCCGGAUUUAUUGGGUUUAAAGGGAGCGUAGGCCGGAGAUUAAGCGUGUUGUGAAAUGUAGAGGCUCAACCUCUGCACUGCAGCGCGAACUGGUCUUCUUGAGUACGCACAACGUGGGCGGAAUUCGUGGUGUAGCGGUGAAAUGCUUAGAUAUCACGAAGAGCUCCGAUUGCGAAGGCAGCUCACGGGAGCGCAACUGACGCUGAAGCUCGAAAGUGCGGGUAUCGAACAGGAUUAGAUACCCUGGUAGUCCGCACGGUAGACGAUGGAUGCCCGCUGUUGGCCUGAAUAGGUCAGCGGCCAAGCGAAAGCAUUAAGCAUCCCACCUGGGGAGUACGCCGGCAACGGUGCAACUCAAAUGAAUUGACGGA
This 916-nucleotide ribosomal RNA is filed under the name uncultured bacterium. Its description in RNAcentral is "bacterial SSU rRNA". It matches the Rfam family "Bacterial small subunit ribosomal RNA", at positions 11 to 917 of the family's 1533-position model. The record is from RNAcentral. RNAcentral also lists the same sequence under 1 other name.